RNAcentral lists this ribosomal RNA (377 nucleotides) under uncultured eukaryote. RNAcentral describes it as "partial 18S ribosomal RNA". It matches the Rfam family "Eukaryotic small subunit ribosomal RNA", at positions 592 to 976 of the family's 1831-position model. The record is from RNAcentral.
CAAUAGCGUAUAUUUAAGUUGCUGCAGUUAAAAAGCUCGUAGUUGGAUUUCGGGUGGGAAUGGCCGGUCCGCCGUUUCGGUGUGCACUUGCUACGCCCACCUUGCUGCCGGGGACGUGCUCUUGAGUUCACGCUCGGGACACGGAGUCGGCGAGGUUACUUUGAGUAAAUUAGAGUGUUCAAAGCAGGCCUACGCUCUGAAUACAUUAGCAUGGAAUAACACGAUAGGACUCUGGCCUAUCUUGUUGGUCUGUAGGACCGGAGUAAUGAUUAAGAGGGACAGUCGGGGGCAUUCGUAUUUCAUUGUCAGAGGUGAAAUUCUUGGAUCGUCGGAUGACGCACUACUGCGAAAGCAUUUGCCAAGAAUGUUUUCAUUAA